Molecule: long non-coding RNA, 883 nt
Organism: Plutella xylostella (diamondback moth)
Lineage: Eukaryota; Metazoa; Arthropoda; Insecta; Lepidoptera; Plutellidae
Source: RefSeq, a predicted model, not a curated record
UUCAACAAGAUCGCUGAUUUCGUACUCCCACCGCACAUUUUUGCGGCUCAUUGUGUUAUGACGUCACGCAAACCGUUCAGUGAAAAUUAUAGCGUUACUAAGCUAGAAAUUCGCACCACGAGCUCAUCAUGAGCUCAUCACACAGAGUAGAUUAUAUGUCAAAGUUGCGACUCAACGCCUCUUUGAAAAAAGUUCCUAUUCUUGCAACGCAAAGCCAUUACAAUGGCUAAUUUUUCCUAUUUUUGUAAGAAAAAGAGCCUGUAAUUACCUACAAAGUGAUGUGAAAGUAGUAACUGAGGAUACGUGAGGAUUGCAAACCAGUCUCCCUGGAUAUUUAAAGCAUAUUUAAAGGAGUUGACGGACAAUUUGACUGAAGACUUUAGCUUCAUGAAACUAGCUGAUUUGAGCGUAACAAAUAAGGUUUUUACUGCGUUGCAACUGGCUCCAGACUGGAAUUUAUAACCAAGACUAAAUAUUCAAGUGCCUAUGUGAAGUACCUACUUAACAACAAGUUGUAUUAAGAUCUUAUGAAGUUAAUACCUACAUAAGAAACUAAAUUGGCAUAUCAUUCUGCUACUGAAUAAUCAGAAAGCAGUUUUUUAGCUAAUAGAAGAGAAGCUUAUGCUUGAUAUUUCAGAACACUGAUAAUAAUAAAUUGUGAUGUGAUUUAAUAUAUCAUACUUAAUAAACACAAAAUACAAAUACAGCAAAAACCAUGUUUCAUUUCAUUAUUUAAAUGUUGAUGUUGCACUUGACUAAGAGGUCAUUCAUGAUACUAUUGAUUUAUAAAGGCUUGAUAGGAAGUAUUCCUUCUUAAGAGUCCGGCAAUGAUAACAUUGCAACAUGGAAGAAAUUGUAUAAGUAACAUUGUAAGUUGUACUUU